Molecule: ribosomal RNA, 289 nt
Filed under: uncultured bacterium
Lineage: Bacteria
Description: partial 16S ribosomal RNA
Rfam family: Bacterial small subunit ribosomal RNA
Source: RNAcentral
GGAUUAGAUACCCUGGUAGUCCACGCCGUAAACGAUGAUUACUCGUUGUGCGCGAUACACAGUGCGCGACUGAGCGAAAGCAUUAAGUAAUCCACCUGGGGAGUACGUUGGCAACAAUGAAACUCAAAGGAAUUGACGGGGGCCCGCACAAGCGGAGGAACAUGUGGUUUAAUUCGAUGAUACGCGAGGAACCUUACCUGGGCUUAAAUGCAUUUUGACCGAUCUGGAAACGGAUCUUCUCUUCGGAGCAAAUUACAAGGUGCUGCAUGGUUGUCGUCAGCUCGUGCCG